AAAUUGAAGAGUUUGAUCAUGGCUCAGAUUGAACGCUGGCGGCAGGCCUAACACAUGCAAGUCGAGCGGUAGCACAGAGAGCUUGCUCUCGGGUGACGAGCGGCGGACGGGUGAGUAAUGUCUGGGAAACUGCCUGAUGGAGGGGGAUAACUACUGGAAACGGUAGCUAAUACCGCAUAACGUCGCAAGACCAAAGUGGGGGACCUUCGGGCCUCAUGCCAUCAGAUGUGCCCAGAUGGGAUUAGCUAGUAGGUGGGGUAACGGCUCACCUAGGCGACGAUCCCUAGCUGGUCUGAGAGGAUGACCAGCCACACUGGAACUGAGACACGGUCCAGACUCCUACGGGAGGCAGCAGUGGGGAAUAUUGCACAAUGGGCGCAAGCCUGAUGCAGCCAUGCCGCGUGUGUGAAGAAGGCCUUCGGGUUGUAAAGCACUUUCAGCGGGGAGGAAGGCGAUAAGGUUAAUAACCUUGUCGAUUGACGUUACCCGCAGAAGAAGCACCGGCUAACUCCGUGCCAGCAGCCGCGGUAAUACGGAGGGUGCAAGCGUUAAUCGGAAUUACUGGGCGUAAAGCGCACGCAGGCGGUCUGUCAAGUCGGAUGUGAAAUCCCCGGGCUCAACCUGGGAACUGCAUUCGAAACUGGCAGGCUAGAGUCUUGUAGAGGGGGGUAGAAUUCCAGGUGUAGCGGUGAAAUGCGUAGAGAUCUGGAGGAAUACCGGUGGCGAAGGCGGCCCCCUGGACAAAGACUGACGCUCAGGUGCGAAAGCGUGGGGAGCAAACAGGAUUAGAUACCCUGGUAGUCCACGCCGUAAACGAUGUCGAUUUGGAGGUUGUGCCCUUGAGGCGUGGCUUCCGGAGCUAACGCGUUAAAUCGACCGCCUGGGGAGUACGGCCGCAAGGUUAAAACUCAAAUGAAUUGACGGGGGCCCGCACAAGCGGUGGAGCAUGUGGUUUAAUUCGAUGCAACGCGAAGAACCUUACCUGGUCUUGACAUCCACAGAACUUUCCAGAGAUGGAUUGGUGCCUUCGGGAACUGUGAGACAGGUGCUGCAUGGCUGUCGUCAGCUCGUGUUGUGAAAUGUUGGGUUAAGUCCCGCAACGAGCGCAACCCUUAUCCUUUGUUGCCAGCGGUUAGGCCGGGAACUCAAAGGAGACUGCCAGUGAUAAACUGGAGGAAGGUGGGGAUGACGUCAAGUCAUCAUGGCCCUUACGACCAGGGCUACACACGUGCUACAAUGGCAUAUACAAAGAGAAGCGACCUCGCGAGAGCAAGCGGACCUCAUAAAGUAUGUCGUAGUCCGGAUUGGAGUCUGCAACUCGACUCCAUGAAGUCGGAAUCGCUAGUAAUCGUAGAUCAGAAUGCUACGGUGAAUACGUUCCCGGGCCUUGUACACACCGCCCGUCACACCAUGGGAGUGGGUUGCAAAAGAAGUAGGUAGCUUAACCUUCGGGAGGGCGCUUACCACUUUGUGAUUCAUGACUGGGGUGAAGUCGUAACAAGGUAACCGUAGGGGAACCUGCGGUUGGAUCACCUCCUUACCUUAAAGAA
Molecule: ribosomal RNA, 1550 nt
Filed under: Klebsiella pneumoniae
Lineage: Bacteria; Pseudomonadati; Pseudomonadota; Gammaproteobacteria; Enterobacterales; Enterobacteriaceae
Also listed under: 2 other names
Description: bacterial SSU rRNA
Rfam family: Bacterial small subunit ribosomal RNA
Source: RNAcentral